RNAcentral lists this transfer RNA (73 nucleotides) under Ixodes scapularis (black-legged tick). It matches the Rfam family "tRNA". Rfam says of the family: Transfer RNA (tRNA) molecules are approximately 80 nucleotides in length. Their secondary structure includes four short double-helical elements and three loops (D, anti-codon, and T loops). The record is from Rfam by way of RNAcentral. Lineage: Eukaryota; Metazoa; Arthropoda; Arachnida; Ixodida; Ixodidae.
CCCUGGUUAGCUCAGUUGGUAGAGCGCUCCACGUGUAAUGGAGAGGUCCCGGGUUCGAUACCCGGACCAGGCG